AAUUACCAGACCUAACAACAAAAAUGGAGAAUAUGAUCAGCUACGGAAACAAUAUGAACAUCUACAAGGCGUGUAUGAAAACAUAUGCCACGCAAUGAACAAAGGAAGCGGAAGUCAGUAUCUGGGCCAAAUAGAGAGUGAUGCAGCCAGAUACAGAGCAGAGAGGAAUAAUGCACGAUUGCAAGUUCAAGAAAUGUCUGAUAAAUUAAACUGGUACAAAAGUGAACCUCAAAAUGCCAGUCCAGAAUAUAGAUAUACAGGGAAAAGAUCUAAGCCUCGUUAUGGGAAAAAGUACUAUUAGGCGAAUAUGAAAGUUACAGUUAUAACAAAAGGAACUAGUGCGAGAUUAUGAACCUAGAAGUUGUAUGAAUGAUAAAUUGUAGACUGAAUCACAAAGAGACAUAUAUUAAAAAGUAGAGUGUUUUACAUAAUGUAUAUUUUGAUACGUACAAGACAUUUAAUAGCAGUUUGUGCAUGAUUGUAAGGAUACAAUGGCAUAGAAUAAACACGUUUUUUGCAAUA
This is a long non-coding RNA of Mytilus trossulus (common blue mussel), 522 nucleotides long. RefSeq lists it as uncharacterized. The record is from RefSeq and is a predicted model, not a curated record. The transcript has 4 exons. Lineage: Eukaryota; Metazoa; Mollusca; Bivalvia; Mytilida; Mytilidae.